CAGUUAAUAUAAGUGUUUGAUUAAUUAGUUUUUUGUAAGAGCUUAUUACUCUAAAAUGCAAAAUUCAAAAGGCUGCUCAAAGCAGCAUUUUCAAUCAGCUUUUUGAAAAAAGAAAUUAUCACAAACA
Molecule: long non-coding RNA, 127 nt
Organism: Ipomoea nil (Japanese morning glory)
Lineage: Eukaryota; Viridiplantae; Streptophyta; Magnoliopsida; Solanales; Convolvulaceae
Exons: 3
Source: RefSeq, a predicted model, not a curated record